UGAACGCUGGCGGCGUGCCUAAUACAUGCAAGUCGCGCGAACAGACGCGGAGCUUGCUCCUCUGACGUUAGCGGCGGACGGGUGAGUAACACGUGGAUAACCUACCUAUAAGACUGGGAUAACUUCGGGAAACCGGAGCUAAUACCGGAUAAUAUAUUGAACCGCAUGGUUCAAUAGUGAAAGACGGUUUUGCUGUCACUUAUAGAUGGAUCCGCACCGCAUUAGCUAGUUGGUAAGGUAACGGCUUACCAAGGCAACGAUGCGUAGCCGACCUGAGAGGGUGAUCGGCCACACUGGAACUGAGACACGGUCCAGACUCCUACGGGAGGCAGCAGUAGGGAAUCUUCCGCAAUGGGCGAAAGCCUGACGGAGCAACGCCGCGUGAGUGAUGAAGGUCUUCGGAUCGUAAAACUCUGUUAUUAGGGAAGAACAAAUGUGUAAGUAACUAUGCACGUCUUGACGGUACCUAAUCAGAAAGCCACGGCUAACUACGUG
This 495-nucleotide ribosomal RNA is filed under the name uncultured bacterium. Its description in RNAcentral is "partial 16S ribosomal RNA". It matches the Rfam family "Bacterial small subunit ribosomal RNA", at positions 30 to 507 of the family's 1533-position model. The record is from RNAcentral.